GUUAAUUUAUCUACUUAUGUCAAAUCGUCCUGCCACCGUCCGAUUUUUUCAACAAGUUCAACGACAGGUUAAUUUUGAGUUUAAUAGGCCGACCUGUCAGGUUAAUUCCAACUUUUCCAUCCUAUAAUUGCAGGUUUAAUAGGCCGGCCCGACCUGCUCGACCUAUUUUGCCACCCCUACUUAGUGUCUCCCCUCCCCCUAAACAAUAUUCACUCAAUCUAUUUCUUAUUUUAAAUUAUACUUUUUUUUUUUUUUCAAGU
This 260-nucleotide long non-coding RNA is filed under the name Medicago truncatula (barrel medic). RNAcentral's name for it is "long non-coding RNA (MTRU_LNC000203)". The record is from RNAcentral. Lineage: Eukaryota; Viridiplantae; Streptophyta; Magnoliopsida; Fabales; Fabaceae.